GCUGUUUGUAUAAGCAAUUCUUUAUUCAUUAAAUACUGCAUCCAUGGUGAUUGGAUGGUACAUGGAAGACAAUCUUCAGAGGCAUGUAAAUACACCAGGAAACUCUCCAACACAAAACCAUCAUUAUUACAGGUUAUGGGAUUCUCUUCACUGUUGCAGCCUGAACUCAUGAUCAUCAUAAAGACGUACGUAUAGUUCACAGUCAGUGCAGUGCGGGGAGUUAGUAAAAGUUGCCCAGUAUUAUUAAACACAAUGUCAUGACUUGCAAGACUGUUGUGGAGCUCUGGUUAAGUUUUUUAUUGUUAUGUUCACCAUGAAAUGUAAAACAUUAGGUAGAACUGGCUGAUCGUGGUCUUAAUUAGUGACACUAUGAUGUUACAGAAGGUGUGAUUAAAACAAUGAUUUGCAUUUACGUCGUCCAGUCUGCUGCAUCUGGCACAUGUGAAGAACACAGUUCAUGUCCAGGAUUUUAUAUGAAAGUCAUCCAAGUAAUUCGAUUAGUAACUGGUUUGCAUCAUAUUUAUUACUUAGAAUGAGACACACCAACAGAAGGGUCGGAGCUAAGAGGCUCCUUUAGCUCUCAGUUUAGACAGCAGCAUCUCAUUCUUCCGACACUCCUAGUGGGGAAAAAAGUUAUUAUUGUUACAUGAUCAUUACACUCAGAGGGUCAUUGUUGAAAAUUAUUAUAGCACAUUUCCUGAAAUACAGAUUAUGGACCUCAACAGCAGAAAGUAACAAGCCUUUAUUUAAGGCAGACCUAUAGUAGAAACUAGGAUGCAAUGAUCAUUUUUCAGUAUAAAGCCUAAUCUCAAUCCACUCAAUCGUGACCUGUGAUUUACUGCAAAGCAUUUUUAAUUCUGAGGCGACUCUUUAAUCAAAAAGACAGCUCAAAUCAAAUCUGCAAAUCUUGUUGAUUAAAGCAUUUUUUUUAUUAGAGUGGGUUGAUAUUGGCUGAUGUUAGCUAUGAUCUAUAGGUAUCGACAGUUAUUAUGGGAAAUACACAGGAAAAAACAAAGAUAUAUAUACACAUAAAAAAACCACCACCACCAACAACACACACAAAAACGAGACCUGGGAGAAACACCUUUUAACAAUGUUAUUUGAUGGCACUGCACAGUUUGUCCACUAGAUGGCACUCUUCAACUCUGUGUUUGGAAAGCUACAACCGCAGACACCCAAUUCAAACACUGGGAGGCAUAAAACAAGUAAUCUGAUGACAUUAUCUAUAUUUAACAUUCAUAUUAAAACUUCAUUCUACUCCUUUUUCAGCAUGCACAUUGUAGCUAUAGAGACACAUGAAAACUUGAAGUUUUUUCUUCUUUUCUCUUGUUAUUUCAGUUAUAUUUGCAUGUUUGAAUAGAACAUGGGUAAGAUUUACACUCCCACUUUUUCAUAUUUAACUGUGUUUGCUGAAACAAAAGUGUUGCUUUAUUGACUGCAAACUAUACAGCACACAAGUCAUGUAAUUUAUUUGGUUAAUUUGUUUUAAUAUAUUAUGACACACUGUUUUCUAAAUGGUGGUGUGCACAUUUGUUUCACAUUGUCUUGUGAUCGAUUUGCAUAAUUUGCAGUGAAUAUUUUUUCUGUUUUCUUGAAUUAUCAGACUGCUUUUUUCAUUCUUUCCUGGUUUAAGCUAAAGAGAAGGCUGAGGAUGGCGCUGGUUUAAGUGCAGAAGCCCACCAAACAGCUGACUAAUCAGCUGAUCUACUCCAUGGCAGGACUGCCAAGGACAGACUCACAGCCUGAGUUGAAGAGGUAUAGCUUGUUACCAGAGAGACAGAAGGCAGGAGAAUAAACCAGCUGUGCUCUACUAAACCAUCUGAGGUAUACCCUGUCAUGAUUCAUGCCUACUGUCUCGCACCACAAAUGAACCAGCUGCUAAUGGAUGCGACACACAAAGAACAGCUAACUGAAGGCCGGACAUUCCCGAGUCCCAUGGAUCCCCAGAGGAGACUGGUCCCAUCCAACUACCAAAUAUGUUUUCUCACUACCACAUUGAGGCUCCCGUCAGGCAUCAUAGUGGCUAAGGUGAACAGGCUUAUGGCUCGAUACAUGAGUGGAGCCACAGAAAGGAAUUAGCAGGAGCACCACCGGAGGGGCGAAGCACCACCAACUGGUGGACAGAAGAGUCACUCAACAGUGCAAGACCAGACCUACCUGUGGGCUAAGCCUAUGACUCAGUGCCGCACACAUGGAUCCAUGAAUGCCUAGAACUACAAAAGAUCAACAGGACCCUAAGAGCCUCCGUUAGGAACUCCAUGGUGAUGUGGCGAACAUCACUACAGGCCAGCUUCAAGCCAAUAGGAUGAGUCACUAUCAAGAGCAGGAUUUACCAAGGAAAUGCUCUGUUCCCACUGCUGUUCUGCAUAGUCCUGAACCCCUGGACUGGAAUGGACCAAUGCCAACCACCUCCUCUACAUGGAUGACAUCAAGCUGUAUGCCAGGACAAGACAUCGAUUUACUGAUCUACACCAACGGCACUGGAAUGUCUUUCAGGCUGGAGAAGUGUAGUUGGAUGGUAACUACUACUUAGUAGUCAGAACUGAGGGGAUUGCAGACAAGUACUUGGUAAUCCCACGGGCAAAUGGGAGCCACAAAGAGGCUCCAACCACCAAAUACCUGCACACAGUAAAAAGCAAGUCCACAGGACUCAGCUGAAUGGAAAGAACAAGAUGGACCUCAGGUCCUCACUCUGAAAAGGGUGGAGUGCCCAUUCUGGGUCAGGGACGGGAAUGGGAAGUAUCUAGGGGUCUUAUUCACAAGUGAGGGGAGGGGGGAGUGGGAGAUCAACAGACAGGUCAAUAAGCGGUAACCUGUCAGUCACGGUGAAGAGAAAACUGAGCGAAAAAGCCAAACUUUCGAUUUACCGGUCAAUCUACGUCCCCACCCUCACCCUGAAAGAACAAGAUCAUGGAUGAAGUGGUGUAAAUGAGCUUUCUCUGAAAGUUGGCUGGCCUCUCCCUUAGAGACAGGGUAAGGAUUUUAGACGCUGGAUUAUCUCUCUCGGCUGGCCGAGCUGGAGGAGGAGGCUGAGGAGGGGGAGGUCUGCUGCGCCCACGGCCAGGCAGCAGAAGAAGAUGGAUGAAUGGAAAUUCACAAAGUCAUUAGCACUUAGAGCGAUAACUCUGAACCUGUUUUCUUCAAUUAGUAACAGUAAUGUUGUCUUUACCUUACAAUAUAAAGCGCUUUGAGGCGACUUGUUCAGAUGUGACAAUAUAUUCUAUAAAAAUUAAAUUGAAUUAUUGACCUGUUUUAUAGUAAAGUUUCGGUAGCUUCUCUGGAUUGUGUUAGCACAUGGCAGAAGAAAAUGAUAGUAAUUCUAAUUUCUUUCUUAUAUUUAAAUGUUGUAUCGUUACAGCACAUUCAGAUAGAAAUCUGCUAAGAAUUUUUGUUUUGUAUUUCAACCCUGUAAGCUGAAAGAUCUAGAGGUGGUCAGGAGAGAGGAUGUUCAGGGACUUAUUUUAAAUGCUUCUAUGUCUUAAAUCAGGACAAUCGAUAAAAUAAUGAGUGGGUUAAUUUGAGAGAAGAUGACUGAGUGAAUAACUUUCUGUUGAAUGUAGCUUUCCAAACUGAGAUUGGGAGAAACUCGGGCAUGACUGCGAAUGACCUCACAUCAUUCUGAGGUCAUUUUUCAAUAAAACACCAAACUAUGAAACAUUUGUC
This is a long non-coding RNA of Astatotilapia calliptera (eastern happy), 3663 nucleotides long. Lineage: Eukaryota; Metazoa; Chordata; Actinopteri; Cichliformes; Cichlidae. The record is from Ensembl.